Schistosoma haematobium is the source of this 39-nucleotide non-coding RNA. Lineage: Eukaryota; Metazoa; Platyhelminthes; Trematoda; Strigeidida; Schistosomatidae. The record is from Rfam.
AUCCAGCUGACGAGUCCGGACGAAAUGCACAUCCUGGAU